This 253-nucleotide unclassified non-coding RNA is filed under the name uncultured Moraxellaceae bacterium. RNAcentral describes it as "contains 16S-23S intergenic spacer region". It matches the Rfam family "Bacterial small subunit ribosomal RNA", at positions 524 to 776 of the family's 1533-position model. Lineage: Bacteria; Pseudomonadati; Pseudomonadota; Gammaproteobacteria; Moraxellales; Moraxellaceae. The record is from RNAcentral.
UACGAGUGGCCCUAGCGUUAAUCGGAUUUACUGGGCGUAAAGCGUGCGUAGGCGGCUUUUUAAGUCGGAUGUGAAAUCCCCGAGCUUAACUUGGGAAUUGCAUUCGAUACUGGGAAGCUAGAGUAUGGGAGAUGAUGGUAGAAUUCCAGGUGUAGCGGUGAAAUGCGUAGAGAUCUGGAGGAAUACCGAUGGCGAAGGCAGCCAUCUGGCCUAAUACUGACGCUGAGGUACGAAAGCAUGGGGAGCAAACAGG